UCCCGAUGCUUAUUUCUAGAGAUAGAAAGUUACUUCGGUACAUCGGUGACAGGUGGUGCAUGGUUGUCGUCAGCUCGUGUCGUGAGAUGUUGGGUUAAGUCCCGCAACGAGCGCAACCCCUAUUGUUAGUUGCCAUCAUUCAGUUGGGCACUCUAGCGAGACUGCCGGUAAUAAACCGGAGGAAGUGGGGAUGGCGUCAAAUCAUCAUGCCCCUUAUGACCUGGGCUACACACGUGCUACAAUGGUUGGUACAACGAGUUGCGAGUCGGUGACGGCGAGCUAAUCUCUUAAAGCCAAUCUCAGUUCGGAUUGUAGGCUGCAACUCGCCUACAUGAAGUCGGAAUCGCCAGUAAUCGCGGAUCAGCACGCCGCGGUGAAUACGUUCCCGGGCCUU
Molecule: ribosomal RNA, 394 nt
Filed under: uncultured Streptococcus sp.
Lineage: Bacteria; Bacillati; Bacillota; Bacilli; Lactobacillales; Streptococcaceae
Description: bacterial SSU rRNA
Rfam family: Bacterial small subunit ribosomal RNA
Source: RNAcentral